This 390-nucleotide ribosomal RNA is filed under the name uncultured bacterium. Its description in RNAcentral is "bacterial SSU rRNA". It matches the Rfam family "Bacterial small subunit ribosomal RNA", at positions 30 to 420 of the family's 1533-position model. The record is from RNAcentral.
AUUGAACGCUGGCGGCAUGCCUUACACAUGCAAGUCGAACGGCAGCACGGGAGCAAUCCUGGUGGCGAGUGGCGAACGGGUGAGUAAUGUAUCGGAACGUACCUUUCAGUGGGGGAUAACGUAGCGAAAGUUACGCUAAUACCGCAUAUUCUGUGAGCAGGAAAGCAGGGGAUCGCAAGACCUUGCGCUGAUUGAGCGGCCGAUAUCAGAUUAGCUAGUUGGUGAGGUAAAGGCUCAUCAAGGCGACGAUCUGUAGCGGGUCUGAGAGGAUGAUCCGCCACACUGGAACUGAGACACGGUCCAGACUCCUACGGGAGGCAGCAGUGGGGAAUUUUGGACAAUGGGCGCAAGCCUGAUCCAGCCAUGCCGCGUGAGUGAAGAAGGCCUCGG